CUUGGUCAUUUAGAGGAAGUAAAAGUCGUAACAAGGUUUCCGUAGGUGAACCUGCGGAAGGAUCAUUAAUGAUUGCGAAUCGUUGCCUUCUGUGCUGGCCAGAAACUGGCAAGUGCACGUCGGUGACUUUCAUCCAAUACCCUGUGAACCAUUGGCCUCUUGCUAGCUUCGGCCGGCAGAGGAAUUUUACACAAACUCGAAUGUAAUGAAAUUUAUUGUCGUGCGCAAGCACUAAUGUACAACUUUCAACAACGGAUCUCUUGGCUCUCGCAUCGAUGAAGAACGCAGCGAAAUGCGAUAAGUAAUGUGAAUUGCAGAAUUCAGUGAAUCAUCGAAUCUUUGAACGCACCUUGCGCUCCUUGGUAUUCCGAGGAGCAUGCCUGUUUGAGUGUCAUUAAAUUCUCAACUCUGAUCGAUUUGUUUCGACUUCGGAGCUUGGAUUUGGAGCGUGCUGGCGUCGGUCGGCUCCUCUUAAAUGCAUCAGCGGAAUCUAACGUUUCGGAUGUCAGUGUGAUAAUCAUGUUGCGCUGUCUGUCUGAUCCGAAAGCCCGCUCACAAUGGUCUUCGGACAACUUCAUAUCAAAUUUGACCUCAAAUCAGGUAGGACUACCCGCUGAACUUAAGCAUAUCAAUAAGCGGAGGA
Molecule: ribosomal RNA, 643 nt
Filed under: uncultured Piloderma
Lineage: Eukaryota; Fungi; Basidiomycota; Agaricomycetes; Atheliales; Atheliaceae
Description: eukaryotic LSU rRNA
Rfam family: 5.8S ribosomal RNA (bases 241-394)
Source: RNAcentral